RNAcentral lists this transfer RNA (74 nucleotides) under Hortaea werneckii EXF-2000. RNAcentral's name for it is "tRNA-Val (AAC) (tRNA-Val-AAC-1 1 to 4)". Lineage: Eukaryota; Fungi; Ascomycota; Dothideomycetes; Mycosphaerellales; Teratosphaeriaceae. The record is from RNAcentral.
GGCCGCGUGGUGUAGCUGGUUAUCACGUGAGUCUAACACACUCAAGGUCCCCGGUUCGAGCCCGGGCGAGGUCA